UACGGAGGAUGCGAGCGUUAUCCGGAUUUAUUGGGUUUAAAGGGUGCGCAGGCGGAGGUGCAAGUCAGCGGUCAAAUGUCGGGGCUCAACCCCGGCCUGCCGUUGAAACUGGCGGCCUCGAGUGGGCGAGAAGUAUGCGGAAUGCGUGGUGUAGCGGUGAAAUGCAUAGAUAUCGCGCAGAACUCCGAUUGCGAAGGCAGCGUACCGGCGCCGGACUGACGCUGAGGCACGAAAGCGCGGGGAUCGAACAGG
Molecule: ribosomal RNA, 252 nt
Filed under: uncultured Bacteroidales bacterium
Lineage: Bacteria; Pseudomonadati; Bacteroidota; Bacteroidia; Bacteroidales
Description: partial 16S ribosomal RNA
Rfam family: Bacterial small subunit ribosomal RNA
Source: RNAcentral